This 332-nucleotide ribosomal RNA is filed under the name uncultured bacterium. RNAcentral describes it as "bacterial SSU rRNA". It matches the Rfam family "Bacterial small subunit ribosomal RNA", at positions 568 to 898 of the family's 1533-position model. The record is from RNAcentral.
CGCGUAGGCGGUGCGGUAAGUCUCUUGUGAAACCUCUGGGCUUAACUCAGAGCCUGCAGGAGAAACUGCCGUGCUGGAGUGUGGGAGAGGCGAGUGGAAUUCCCGGUGUAGCGGUGAAAUGCGUGGAUAUCGGGAGGAACACCAGUGGCGAAGGCGGCUCGCUGGGCCACAACUGACGCUGAGGCGCGAAAGCUAGGGGAGCAAACAGGAUUAGAUACCCUGGUAGUCCUAGCCUUAAACGAUGAAUGCUUGGUGUGAUCGGUAUCCAAUCCGAUCGUGCCGUAGUUAACGCGAUAAGCAUUCCGCCUGGGGAGUACGGUCGCAAGGCUGAA